GCCUANCUUAACACACAUGAAAUCACCAAUUGUUCGCCAAACAACUACGAGUUAAAACUUAAAACUUAAAAGACUUGACGGUACUUCACACCACCCUAGAGGAGCCUGUCUAAUAACCGAUACCCCACGAUUAACCCAACCCACCCUAGCCCAACAGUCUAUAUACCGCCAUCGCCAGCUUACCUUGUGAAAGAAACAAAGUAAACACAACAGCUACCACUAACACGAUAGGUCGAGGUGUAACUAAUGGGUGGGAAAAAGAUGGGCUACAUUUUCUAAUACAGAAAACACGAAUAGACUAUGAAAAUAGAAACCGAAGGCGGAUUUAGCAGUACGUUAAGGACAAAAUGCUUAACCNAAAUAAAUGCAAUGAAGUGCGU
Molecule: ribosomal RNA, 380 nt
Filed under: Nerodia rhombifer
Lineage: Eukaryota; Metazoa; Chordata; Lepidosauria; Squamata; Natricidae
Description: partial 12S ribosomal RNA
Source: RNAcentral